Molecule: ribosomal RNA, 468 nt
Filed under: uncultured bacterium
Lineage: Bacteria
Description: partial 16S ribosomal RNA
Rfam family: Bacterial small subunit ribosomal RNA
Source: RNAcentral
GACGAACGCUGGCGGCGUGCUUAACACAUGCAAGUCGAACGGAAAGGCCCUGCUUUUGUGGGGUGCUCGAGUGGCGAACGGGUGAGUAACACGUGAGUAACCUGCCCUUGACUUUGGGAUAACUUCAGGAAACUGGGGCUAAUACCGGAUAGGAGCUCCUGCUGCAUGGUGGGGGUUGGAAAGUUUCGGCGGUUGGGGAUGGACUCGCGGCUUAUCAGCUUGUUGGUGGGGUAGUGGCUUACCAAGGCUUUGACGGGUAGCCGGCCUGAGAGGGUGACCGGCCACAUUGGGACUGAGCGACGGCCCAGACUCCUACGGGAGGCAGCAGUGGGGAAUAUUGCACAAUGGGCGGAAGCCUGAUGCAGCAACGCCGCGUGCGGGAUGACGGCCUUCGGGUUGUAAACCGCUUUCGCCUGUGACGAAGCGUGAGUGACGGUAAUGGGUAAAGAAGCACCGGCUAACUACGUG